RNAcentral lists this ribosomal RNA (370 nucleotides) under uncultured bacterium. RNAcentral's name for it is "bacterial SSU rRNA". It matches the Rfam family "Bacterial small subunit ribosomal RNA", at positions 108 to 507 of the family's 1533-position model. The record is from RNAcentral.
GAGUACACGUUGGAACCUGCCCCAAAGUGAGGAAUAAGCCACCGAAAGGUGGUCUAAUACUUCAUAAUAUCCAUCUCGUAUGGAUUAAAGCUUUAUGCGCUUUGGGAGGGGCCUGCGUAACAUUAGCUAGUUGGUGAGGUAAAAGCUCACCAAGGCUUCGAUGUUUAACUGGUUUGAGAGGAUGACCAGUCACACUGGACUGAGAUACGGCCCAGACUCCUACGGGAGGCAGCAGUAAGGAAUCUUCCACAAUGGGGGCAACCCUGAUGGAGCAAUACCGCGUGCAGGAUGAAGCGUUUCGGCGUGUAAACUGCUUUUAUCACCGAAGAUUAUGACUGUAAGUGAAGAAUAAGGACCGGCUAACUACGUG